Molecule: long non-coding RNA, 1361 nt
Filed under: Homo sapiens (human)
Lineage: Eukaryota; Metazoa; Chordata; Mammalia; Primates; Hominidae
Description: novel transcript
Source: RNAcentral
ACUAUAUUACCGCCGGUACACAUCCGCCCGACACUGAAACUUUUCCUUUUGCAUGGUAGCCACGACCGCCCACAGUGAGGCGGCUGUAGCCCGCUUCCGCCCUUACAGACACCCCAGGACGCGACCGAGACAGGAGGGCUGAUGUUCCUUUUGAAGAAGAGUUCAGAAAAAGGAUGGUAUCCUGUGAAGGAAAGCCGUGACAGAGGCCCAAGGAGAUGGAGCCAAGGCCUGUCAAGGAAGAAAAGGACUUUUCCCACCAAGAGUUGGAGAAAGAAGACACCAGGACUACUUCUUCCUCUUCCCAGUGGGUGGCAGCACGGAUCUCUAAGAGCUGGCCAGGUGCUCCACCUGGAUGGUGCUGGUGGUGACAGUGAGGCAGAUGUCCUUAUGAUGCUCCGCCGUCUUAUACGGGGUCAGGUCAAAGGAACACUGGGGUGGAGGGUUGGGAUUGCUGUCCCCACCACCCCCACCCUGGGGGGCUGCCCCAGGAGACUGGAAGUGUGGUGGUGGCUGUUGCUGCUGCUGCUGCUGCUGCUGCUGCUGCUGCUGCUGCUGCUGUGAUGCCUGGGAGGCCUGGGCCUGGGCCUGGGCUUGAGCCUGAGCCUGAGCCUGGGCUUGAGCUUGAGCCUGGGCCUGGGCCACUGCUGCCGCUGCUGCUGCUGCCUGCACCUGUUGCUGAAGAUCAGGCGGGUUGUGUUUGCGCAUAUGUUUCAUAAGGGCCCUCUGCUAAGAUGAGCCAAGGACUUGAGGGUGCAGUGACACCUGCUCCUCAUCAGCGACUUCAGAACCAUCUCUAUGACCAGGUGCUUUUCGGGACCUCUGGUAUAAAAUCUCAAAAACAUCACAGGACGUGUCUCUUAUUUGUGAGGAAAGCCUGACUCCUCCUCUUCUCAAAGCAAGAUGUCUGAUCACUUUAAGGUGAGAUCAUCACAUCCACAAGAAGCCGGGUGAGACGGUCUAUGGCCUGUAAGUCUGGACUCCAGUUCAACUUGAGAUAGCACCAAAGAUCAUCACUUCUAGUUGGCAGGUUCCCUUCUUCCUAGUCACUCCAGAUUCACGGGAUAAACACUGGGCAUCUUUAUGAAGCAUAAGCGUUUUCAUUUUCUGUUUGCUGAUUCUCUCUGAACAUUUAGUACGUGUUUUCUUUUGUUCUCUACUCCUGGCAUCCCUCAGAGCCUUGCUUGUUGCUGUGGGUGUCACCAGGCUGGUGCCCAGCUAAUGUCUGAUUUUAUUUCCUGUUCAUAAUUGGUGCCCUAAGGGCUAGAGGUAUGGUCUUCUCCACUCAAAUGCCUCUGUUUUGGCAUCAAGGGGCAAAUCUUCCAAGAUGGGUACAUGAGUAUUUUCAGGGAGGAAAAUUAGAG